Non-coding RNA from Nerophis lumbriciformis (worm pipefish), 444 nucleotides. The record is from the annotation of a RefSeq genome assembly. Lineage: Eukaryota; Metazoa; Chordata; Actinopteri; Syngnathiformes; Syngnathidae.
AUGUGGCCUGCACCAGUGCUUCUGCUCGUCCAGUCGGCUCUGCUGAUUCAAGGAUCUUCCGCCCAGGAUUCUCAGAUCCAGACGGACAAAAUCAAGUAUGUCAGUCUUGGUGGGACUUUGACCAUCAGCGCCAAAGGGAACUCAAACACUGGUGCUACUCUCAGUUGGUACCAAGUGAAACCUGGACAGGUUCCUAAACUUCUGAUCUAUGGUGCAACAAGUCGCUUUACUGGAACACCACCUCGAUUCAGUGGCACACGAUCUGGCUCUGACUACACUCUGACUAUCACUGGUGUUCAGGCAGAAGAUGUCGCUGAUUACUACUGUUUUGCCUAUUUUGGAGAUGGAAGGGAAGUGAAAGUGGAAGAUGAUGAUGACUGGUCCACUGAACAAAGAUCACCAAGCAGAACCAGCGUCAAUCUGAACAAGUUGAUUGACUUGUAA